UACGGAGGGUGCAAGCGUUAAUCGGAAUUACUGGGCGUAAAGCGUGCGUAGGCGGUAAGUUAAGUCUGCUGUGAAAUCCCUGGGCUCAACCUGGGAAUGGCGGUGGAUACUGGCUUGCUGGAGUACGGUAGAGGAAGGUGGAAUUCCCGGUGUAGCGGUGAAAUGCGUAGAGAUCGGGAGGAACAUCAGUGGCGAAGGCGACCUUCUGGACCAGUACUGACGCUGAGGCACGAAAGCGUGGGGAGCAAACAGGAUUAGAUACCCUGGUAGUCCACGCCCUAAACGAUGCGAACUGGAGGUUGGGUGCAACUUGGCACGCAGUCUCGAAGCUAACGCGUUAAGUUCGCCGCCUGGGGAGUACGGUCGCAAGACUGAAACUCA
RNAcentral lists this ribosomal RNA (381 nucleotides) under uncultured bacterium. Its description in RNAcentral is "bacterial SSU rRNA". It matches the Rfam family "Bacterial small subunit ribosomal RNA", at positions 524 to 903 of the family's 1533-position model. The record is from RNAcentral.